GACGAACGCUGGCGGCGUGCCUAAUACAUGCAAGUAGAACGCACAGUUUAUACCGUAGCUUGCUCCACCAUAGACUGUGAGUUGCGAACGGGUGAGUAACGCGUAGGUAACCUGCCUGGUAGCGGGGGAUAACUAUUGGAAACGAUAGCUAAUACCGCAUAAUAUUAAUUAUUGCAUGAUAAUUAAUUGAAAGGUGCAAUUGCACCACUACCAGAUGGACCUGCGUUGUAUUAGCUAGUAGGUGAGGUAACGGCUCACCUAGGCGACGAUACAUAGCCGACCUGAGAGAGUGAUCGGCCAAACUGGGACUGAGACAAGCCCCAGACCCCUACGGGCGGCAGCAGUAGGGAAUCUUCGGAAAUGGACGAAAGUCUGAACGAGCAACGCCGCGUGAGUGAAGAAGGGUUUCGGAUCGUAAAGCUCUGUUGUAAGAGAAGAAAGGGUGUGAGAGUGGAAAGUUCACACUGUGACGGUAUCUUACCAGAAAGGGACGGCUAACUACGUG
RNAcentral lists this ribosomal RNA (505 nucleotides) under uncultured bacterium. RNAcentral's name for it is "partial 16S ribosomal RNA". It matches the Rfam family "Bacterial small subunit ribosomal RNA", at positions 28 to 507 of the family's 1533-position model. The record is from RNAcentral.